RNAcentral lists this non-coding RNA (147 nucleotides) under uncultured Blautia sp. Lineage: Bacteria; Bacillati; Bacillota; Clostridia; Lachnospirales; Lachnospiraceae. The record is from RNAcentral.
UAGGUUCAAGGUUAAAAGGGAAACCGGUGAAAUUCCGGUACAGUCACCUCUGCUGUGAAGCGGACGAGGAAAUAGAAGCCAUUGAAUAGCAAUUCGAGAAGGCAUUUCCAAGGAUGAAGCAAAGUCAGAACACCUGCCAUGUAUAUA